RNAcentral lists this ribosomal RNA (245 nucleotides) under uncultured bacterium. RNAcentral describes it as "partial 16S ribosomal RNA". It matches the Rfam family "Bacterial small subunit ribosomal RNA", at positions 113 to 353 of the family's 1533-position model. The record is from RNAcentral.
ACACGUGAGCAACCUGCCUUUUCAGUGGGGGACAACAUUUGGAAACGAAUGCUAAUACCGCAUAAGACCACAGUGUCGCAUGGCACAGGGGUCAAAGGAUUUAUCCGCUGAAAGAUGGGCUCGCGUCCGAUUAGCUAGAUGGUGAGGUAACGGCCCACCAUGGCGACGAUCGGUAGCCGGACUGAGAGGUUGAACGGCCACAUUGGGACUGAGACACGGCCCAGACUCCUACGGGAGGCAGCAUG